AAUAUAGGAUGUCCAGUCAAAUUUGAAUUUCAGAUGAGUAACGAAUAAUUAUUUUAAUGAAAGUACAUCCCAUGCAAUAUUUGGGACAUACUUAUGCAAAAAUAAUUAUUCAUUGUUCAUCUGAGAUUCAAAUUUAACUGGACAUCCUAUAUUUU
Molecule: microRNA precursor, 155 nt
Filed under: Vicugna pacos (alpaca)
Lineage: Eukaryota; Metazoa; Chordata; Mammalia; Artiodactyla; Camelidae
Description: miRNA (ENSVPAG00000016090.1)
Source: RNAcentral